Molecule: microRNA precursor, 75 nt
Filed under: Chinchilla lanigera (long-tailed chinchilla)
Lineage: Eukaryota; Metazoa; Chordata; Mammalia; Rodentia; Chinchillidae
Description: miRNA (ENSCLAG00000021021.1)
Source: RNAcentral
UGAACUCACUGUGUAGCCCAGGCUGGCCUCAAAUUCACAGCGAUCCUCCUGCCUCAGCCUCCUGAGUGCUGGGAU